Molecule: ribosomal RNA, 271 nt
Filed under: uncultured Desulfotomaculum sp.
Lineage: Bacteria; Bacillati; Bacillota; Clostridia; Eubacteriales; Desulfotomaculaceae
Description: partial 16S ribosomal RNA
Rfam family: Bacterial small subunit ribosomal RNA
Source: RNAcentral
CUGUUGCCAGCAAGUAAUGUUGGGACUCAGAUGGAACUGCCGGUAGACAAACCGGAGGAAGGUGGGGACGACGUCAAAUCAUCAUGCCCUUUAUGUCCUGGGCUACACACGUGCUACAAUGGCCUGUACAAAGGGCAGCAAAGGGGCGACCCGGAGCAAAUCCCAAAAAACAGGUCUCAGUUCGGAUUGCAGGCUGCAACUCGCCUGCAUGAAGGCGGAAUCGCUAGUAAUCGCAGGUCAGCAUACUGCGGUGAAUACGUUCCCGGGCCUU